CUCAAUCAUGUUCAAAAGAGGCCUAUUCAUCAUUCUAAUCAUCCAUCUUGAAGAUUCAAAGGUCAUGGCAAAAGUUACUAAAAAUGGAAAAUGACCUGUAAUUCAAAGUUUCCAAAUUUGGCAAGUUUUUGGUCCACAUUCAACUUCAUUCUAAUCAUCCAUCUUGAAGAUUCAAAGGUCAUGGCAAAAGUUACUAAAAAUGGAAAAUGACCUGUAAUUCAAAGUUUCCAAAUUUGGCAAGUUUUUGGUCCACA
RNAcentral lists this long non-coding RNA (254 nucleotides) under Lathyrus oleraceus (garden pea). Its description in RNAcentral is "Pisum sativum (pea) long non-coding RNA (PSAT_LNC003189)". Lineage: Eukaryota; Viridiplantae; Streptophyta; Magnoliopsida; Fabales; Fabaceae. The record is from RNAcentral.